GGUUAAGCGACUAAGCGUACACGGUGGAUGCCCUGGCAGUCAGAGGCGAUGAAGGACGUGCUAAUCUGCGAUAAGCGUCGGUAAGGUGAUAUGAACCGUUAUAACCGGCGAUUUCCGAAUGGGGAAACCCAGUGUGUUUCGACACACUAUCAUUAACUGAAUCCAUAGGUUAAUGAGGCGAACCGGGGGAACUGAAACAUCUAAGUACCCCGAGGAAAAGAAAUCAACCGAGAUUCCCCCAGUAGCGGCGAGCGAACGGGGAGGAGCCCAGAGCCUGAAUCAGUGUGUGUGUUAGUGGAAGCGUCUGGAAAGGCGCGCGAUACAGGGUGACAGCCCCGUACACAAAAAUGCACAUGCUGUGAGCUCGAUGAGUAGGGCGGGACACGUGGUAUCCUGUCUGAAUAUGGGGGGACCAUCCUCCAAGGCUAAAUACUCCUGACUGACCGAUAGUGAACCAGUACCGUGAGGGAAAGGCGAAAAGAACCCCGGCGAGGGGAGUGAAAAAGAACCUGAAACCGUGUACGUACAAGCAGUGGGAGCACAGAGCAAUCUGUGUGACUGCGUACCUUUUGUAUAAUGGGUCAGCGACUUAUAUUCUGUAGCAAGGUUAACCGAAUAGGGGAGCCGAAGGGAAACCGAGUCUUAACUGGGCGUUAAGUUGCAGGGUAUAGACCCGAAACCCGGUGAUCUAGCCAUGGGCAGGUUGAAGGUUGGGUAACACUAACUGGAGGACCGAACCGACUAAUGUUGAAAAAUUAGCGGAUGACUUGUGGCUGGGGGUGAAAGGCCAAUCAAACCGGGAGAUAGCUGGUUCUCCCCGAAAGCUAUUUAGGUAGCGCCUCGUGAAUUCAUCUCCGGGGGUAGAGCACUGUUUCGGCAAGGGGGUCAUCCCGACUUACCAACCCGAUGCAAACUGCGAAUACCGGAGAAUGUUAUCACGGGAGACACACGGCGGGUGCUAACGUCCGUCGUGAAGAGGGAAACAACCCAGACCGCCAGCUAAGGUCCCAAAGUCAUGGUUAAGUGGGAAACGAUGUGGGAAGGCCCAGACAGCCAGGAUGUUGGCUUAGAAGCAGCCAUCAUUUAAAGAAAGCGUAAUAGCUCACUGGUCGAGUCGGCCUGCGCGGAAGAUGUAACGGGGCUAAACCAUGCACCGAAGCUGCGGCAGCGACGCUGAUGCGUUGUUGGGUAGGGGAGCGUUCUGUAAGCCUGUGAAGGUGUGCUGUGAGGCAUGCUGGAGGUAUCAGAAGUGCGAAUGCUGACAUAAGUAACGAUAAAGCGGGUGAAAAGCCCGCUCGCCGGAAGACCAAGGGUUCCUGUCCAACGUUAAUCGGGGCAGGGUGAGUCGACCCCUAAGGCGAGGCCGAAAGGCGUAGUCGAUGGGAAACAGGUUAAUAUUCCUGUACUUGGUGUUACUGCGAAGGGGGGACGGAGAAGGCUAUGUUGGCCGGGCGACGGUUGUCCCGGUUUAAGCGUGUAGGCUGGUUUUCCAGGCAAAUCCGGAAAACUAAGGCUGAGGCGUGAUGACGAGGCACUACGGUGCUGAAGCAACAAAUGCCCUGCUUCCAGGAAAAGCCUCUAAGCAUCAGGUAACAUCAAAUCGUACCCCAAACCGACACAGGUGGUCAGGUAGAGAAUACCAAGGCGCUUGAGAGAACUCGGGUGAAGGAACUAGGCAAAAUGGUGCCGUAACUUCGGGAGAAGGCACGCUGAUAUGUAGGUGAAGUCCCUCGCGGAUGGAGCUGAAAUCAGUCGAAGAUACCAGCUGGCUGCAACUGUUUAUUAAAAACACAGCACUGUGCAAACACGAAAGUGGACGUAUACGGUGUGACGCCUGCCCGGUGCCGGAAGGUUAAUUGAUGGGGUCAGCGCAAGCGAAGCUCUUGAUCGAAGCCCCGGUAAACGGCGGCCGUAACUAUAACGGUCCUAAGGUAGCGAAAUUCCUUGUCGGGUAAGUUCCGACCUGCACGAAUGGCGUAAUGAUGGCCAGGCUGUCUCCACCCGAGACUCAGUGAAAUUGAACUCGCUGUGAAGAUGCAGUGUACCCGCGGCAAGACGGAAAGACCCCGUGAACCUUUACUAUAGCUUGACACUGAACAUUGAGCCUUGAUGUGUAGGAUAGGUGGGAGGCUUUGAAGUGUGGACGCCAGUCUGCAUGGAGCCGACCUUGAAAUACCACCCUUUAAUGUUUGAUGUUCUAACGUUGACCCGUAAUCCGGGUUGCGGACAGUGUCUGGUGGGUAGUUUGACUGGGGCGGUCUCCUCCUAAAGAGUAACGGAGGAGCACGAAGGUUGGCUAAUCCUGGUCGGACAUCAGGAGGUUAGUGCAAUGGCAUAAGCCAGCUUGACUGCGAGCGUGACGGCGCGAGCAGGUGCGAAAGCAGGUCAUAGUGAUCCGGUGGUUCUGAAUGGAAGGGCCAUCGCUCAACGGAUAAAAGGUACUCCGGGGAUAACAGGCUGAUACCGCCCAAGAGUUCAUAUCGACGGCGGUGUUUGGCACCUCGAUGUCGGCUCAUCACAUCCUGGGGCUGAAGUAGGUCCCAAGGGUAUGGCUGUUCGCCAUUUAAAGUGGUACGCGAGCUGGGUUUAGAACGUCGUGAGACAGUUCGGUCCCUAUCUGCCGUGGGCGCUGGAGAACUGAGGGGGGCUGCUCCUAGUACGAGAGGACCGGAGUGGACGCAUCACUGGUGUUCGGGUUGUCAUGCCAAUGGCACUGCCCGGUAGCUAAAUGCGGAAGAGAUAAGUGCUGAAAGCAUCUAAGCACGAAACUUGCCCCGAGAUGAGUUCUCCCUGACUCCUUGAGAGUCCUGAAGGAACGUUGAAG
Molecule: ribosomal RNA, 2824 nt
Filed under: Escherichia coli
Lineage: Bacteria; Pseudomonadati; Pseudomonadota; Gammaproteobacteria; Enterobacterales; Enterobacteriaceae
Description: partial 23S ribosomal RNA
Rfam family: Bacterial large subunit ribosomal RNA
Source: RNAcentral